GAUCUACCAAGAUCCAGACUUGGUUUGAGUAUGUCGAGUCAAUUUCUGAUCUCAUUGCCUCUAACCAUUUCUUAGAGUCGAUAUCUGAUAUCACCUCGUCAUAGGUCUUGGGAUCAUCACCAUGAACCUCAUUUUUCAUGAGGAAUAUUUCCUCUACAUCCUCUUGUAUGGUACCUAAGUACCUUUCAGGAGGAUGGAAAAUUCUAGUCAAUCUACGAGGUGGAAGAGGUUGUGUUAGGACUGGUUCUGAUUGAUUUGGUUCCUCAGGUUCUUUAGCUCGUUGCUCUUGGGAGACAUUCUCCUUGAGCUUAAUUAUUCUUC
Molecule: long non-coding RNA, 321 nt
Filed under: Elaeis guineensis (African oil palm)
Lineage: Eukaryota; Viridiplantae; Streptophyta; Magnoliopsida; Arecales; Arecaceae
Description: long non-coding RNA (EGUI_LNC059222)
Source: RNAcentral